UACGAAGGGGGCUAGCGUUGCUCGGAAUGACUGGGCGUAAAGGGCGCGUAGGCGGCUCAUACAGUCAGGCGUGAAAUUCCUGGGCUCAACCUGGGGACUGCGCUUGAGACGUGUGGGCUUGAGUGGGGAAGAGGGUCGUGGAAUUCCCAGUGUAGAGGUGAAAUUCGUAGAUACUGGGAGGAACACCGGUGGCGAAGGCGGCUACCUGGACCGGUUCUGACGCUGAGGCGCGAAAGCGUGGGUAGCAAACAGG
This 253-nucleotide ribosomal RNA is filed under the name uncultured bacterium. RNAcentral's name for it is "partial 16S ribosomal RNA". It matches the Rfam family "Bacterial small subunit ribosomal RNA", at positions 524 to 776 of the family's 1533-position model. The record is from RNAcentral.